This 236-nucleotide unclassified non-coding RNA is filed under the name plant metagenome. RNAcentral describes it as "partial contains small subunit ribosomal RNA, internal transcribed spacer 1, and 5.8S ribosomal RNA". The record is from RNAcentral.
UUUCUGUAGGUGAACCUGCGGAAGGAUCAUUACCGAGUGAGGGCCCUCUGGGUCCAACCUCCCACCCGUGUUUAUCGUACCUUGUUGCUUCGGCGGGCCCGCCUCACGGCCGCCGGGGGGCACCCGCCCCCGGGCCCGCGCCCGCCGAAGACACCAUUGAACGCUGUCUGAAGAUUGCAGUCUGAGCAUCUUAGCUAAAUCAGUUAAAACUUUCAACAACGGAUCUCUUGGUUCCG